This 467-nucleotide ribosomal RNA is filed under the name uncultured bacterium. RNAcentral describes it as "partial 16S ribosomal RNA". It matches the Rfam family "Bacterial small subunit ribosomal RNA", at positions 28 to 506 of the family's 1533-position model. The record is from RNAcentral.
GACGAACGCUGGCGGCGUGCUUAACACAUGCAAGUCGAACGGAAAGGCCCUGCUUUUGUGGGGUGCUCGAGUGGCGAACGGGUGAGUAACACGUGAGUAACCUGCCCUUGACUUUGGGAUAACUUCAGGAAACUGGGGCUAAUACCGGAUAGGAGCUCCUGCUGCAUGGUGGGGGUUGGAAAGUUUCGGCGGUUGGGGAUGGACUCGCGGCUUAUCAGCUUGUUGGUGGGGUAGUGGCUUACCAAGGCUUUGACGGGUAGCCGGCCUGAGAGGGUGACCGGCCACAUGGGGACUGAGAUACGGCCCAGACUCCUACGGGAGGCAGCAGUGGGGAAUAUUGCACAAUGGGCGGAAGCCGGAUGCAGCAACGCCGCGUGCGGGAUGACGGCCUUCGGGUUGUAAACCGCUUUCGCCUGUGGCGAAGCGUGAGUGACGGUAAUGGGUAAAGAAGCACCGGCUAACUACGU